AAAUUGAAGAGUUUGAUCAUGGCUCAGAUUGAACGCUGGCGGCAGGCCUAACACAUGCAAGUCGAACGGUAACAGGAAGCAGCUUGCUGCUUUGCUGACGAGUGGCGGACGGGUGAGUAAUGUCUGGGAAACUGCCUGAUGGAGGGGGAUAACUACUGGAAACGGUGGCUAAUACCGCAUAACGUCGCAAGACCAAAGAGGGGGACCUUCGGGCCUCUUGCCAUCAGAUGUGCCCAGAUGGGAUUAGCUUGUUGGUGAGGUAACGGCUCACCAAGGCGACGAUCCCUAGCUGGUCUGAGAGGAUGACCAGCCACACUGGAACUGAGACACGGUCCAGACUCCUACGGGAG
Molecule: ribosomal RNA, 350 nt
Filed under: Salmonella enterica
Lineage: Bacteria; Pseudomonadati; Pseudomonadota; Gammaproteobacteria; Enterobacterales; Enterobacteriaceae
Also listed under: 1 other name
Description: bacterial SSU rRNA
Rfam family: Bacterial small subunit ribosomal RNA
Source: RNAcentral